GCGUGUAUUCUCUUCAGGAUUUAUCACUCAGCUGAGAUUUUCAGGAAGAUGGAUGGGAGGCAAAAUCAAUUAAUCAGCUGUGGAAUUCCUACUGAGGAUGGAAUGUGUUGAAUUCCAAUCACUGUGGAAAUUAAGGAGCUGGAGGCUAAAUUUACUGUAAAGAGAGAGGUUUUGCAUCUGCCUGUGUCAGUUCUCCAGCGUAUUGAGAUGUGUGUGUUGUAUGUGCACAUGUGCUAAAUAUAUAGCUGCCAAGAGUGAUAAUUUGAUCAAUAAACUUUGUGUUUGCCGUGAAGUCACACUGUUUCUGGCCAUCUGCUUCCUGUGAAACUGGCAUUAAACUGUUGAAUGGAAGAUUGUCUUUCCGUGGCAAGGGGAAGAGUGCCUGUGCUUUAAGAAAUACAGUGUGUCUUCAUAAGAACAUGAUUACUGUCAUAUUGACCCAAGCAAAGGUGGCAGCCAGUCCAGUCUCCUCUCUCCAGCUCUCACCUAGGAUGGACACCUAAGGAAUCAUUAAAAUAACAAGGGAGACACACAGGAAUAAUUUCCUGUGGAUAUGAUGUGCAGUACUGGACUUGCGUGAAGUCGUAUAUUUUGUUAGACCAAGACAUAUGCAUGGAAAAGACAGACAGACUUUUGGCCACACUUUUCUAUGGGUUAGAAUCACCUUUCAGUUAAGAGCAAUUGCUUACCAUUUCCUAAGAUAUUUAUUAAUUAAGCCAGAUCUGAAAAGAAGGAGAUGGUAGCUUUAGACUAGAGAGGAUAUUGCUGAUGUUAAGGAAGGGAAAAAUAGCAUUUAUUAGCUAACCGAAAAGGACAGACAAUUACUUUACAGUCUGUUGAUUUGGAGAGGGGUAAGUGGGAGGGGGCAGUGUUGAAUGUUGUAGUAGAAGGAGAUUAUAAUGUACUAUCAGACCAGCAUCUCUACUAAGCCCACAGUUUUGGGUAGAGUUAGGAAACCUAGUUCCCAUGUGCACUUCUGUGGGACAAGUUUGUAGUUUCCCUUAAGGAUCAGGUCUGAAAGGAGAGGAAGAAUGUCUGUUUUCUGAGAAAGACUCCCUCACAAACAGCACAGUGGUUUAUUUGGUCUAUGAAGAUGGCCUCCAGGAGCUCAUGCUCAUGCUGAGUGGUCGUUUUCAGCAGUAGAACUACAAGGAAUGCAGCUGUGCACUGGAUGAAGUACAGCCCUGGAACAUCAAAUAUAAGACCUGGGUAUGCUGAUGAUUUGAUGGCAGGGGGUGUUCAUUGCUGUAAUAGUGGAUGGGCAUCAAAACACAUCUUACAUUUCUUGCUCAGGCACGGUUUACACUGAUCUGGUGAUCUGGGCCACAAAGGAUUAUGCUCUAAUGAUGAGUUUUGUGGUUUGGGGUGUUUGAAAUGUAGGACAAGUGCUUCUGGGAAGAUUCUUUCCACACAGGAUUUUCUUCUGUAAUGUGAAA
This is a long non-coding RNA of Poecile atricapillus (Black-capped chickadee), 1436 nucleotides long. RefSeq lists it as uncharacterized. The record is from RefSeq and is a predicted model, not a curated record. The transcript has 5 exons. Lineage: Eukaryota; Metazoa; Chordata; Aves; Passeriformes; Paridae.